This 71-nucleotide transfer RNA is filed under the name Marmota monax (woodchuck). RNAcentral's name for it is "tRNA.Ala". It matches the Rfam family "tRNA". From Rfam's summary of the family: Transfer RNA (tRNA) molecules are approximately 80 nucleotides in length. Lineage: Eukaryota; Metazoa; Chordata; Mammalia; Rodentia; Sciuridae. The record is from RNAcentral.
GGGGUUGUGGCUUAGCGGUAGAGCACUCACCUAGCACAUGUGAGGCCCUGGGUUCAAUCCUCAGCACCACA